AACCGCCGUGUCUAUGGGGGCAAAGAGAUUAUUCGCAGACGACGACGACUACGAGCUGUAUUAUAAUGAUCAGACGAUUAUGCUGUGAAACGGCUAAUUGAAUUCGCCUUUGUAGUAUUAUACGUUAUACGGUGUACCUCUACAAUCAAAUUAGUGUCACGAUUACCGAACAGAAUCAUCUCGGUCGUUGAAUUAUUUACACGAUAUUAUUAAAAUA
This is a non-coding RNA of Cinara cedri, 217 nucleotides long. NCBI's taxonomy places the organism in Eukaryota, Metazoa, Arthropoda, Insecta, Hemiptera, Aphididae. The record is from the annotation of a GenBank genome assembly.